CAAUAGCGUAUAUUUAAGUUGUUGCAGUUAAAAAGCUCGUAGUUGGAUUUCUGCUGAUCGCUGUCGGUCUGCCGUCAGGUGUGUACUGGCAGUGUUUGGCAUCUAUUCGAGAUUGGGUGUCCACUUGAUUGUGUGCACUCGAUGUCGGAGCUAAUACUUUGAGAAAAUUAGAGUGUUCCACGCAGGCGCGUGCCUUGAAUACUGCAGCGUGGGAUAUUGGAAGGCCGAUUGAGCUUUCUUGUUGGUUCUCGGUUUGAUCGGAAUGAUUAAUAGGGAUAGUUGGGGGCAUUCGUAUUCAACUGUCAGAGGUGAAAUUCUUGGAUUUGUUGAAGACGGACUACUGCGAAAGCAUCUGCCAUGGAUGUUCUCAUUGA
This 374-nucleotide ribosomal RNA is filed under the name uncultured eukaryote. RNAcentral's name for it is "partial 18S ribosomal RNA". It matches the Rfam family "Eukaryotic small subunit ribosomal RNA", at positions 592 to 976 of the family's 1831-position model. The record is from RNAcentral.